Molecule: long non-coding RNA, 900 nt
Organism: Struthio camelus australis
Lineage: Eukaryota; Metazoa; Chordata; Aves; Struthioniformes; Struthionidae
Source: RefSeq, a predicted model, not a curated record
GGGUCUCAGCAACUCCAACCACCACCUUGAGAGGAAAAAGCAAUCCUUGAAAGUAGCACGAUGCGCUGCCUCCCAGCCGGGCUGAGGGCUCUGCCCCGCAACCCACAAUAACAGACUUUGCCAGCUAGGGGAUAAGGAAGCACUUCACUGCUGCCAAAGCAUGGCAAAAUAAAAUAAAUAAAAAUUUCAAAAGCGUGUAGACAUUCUGGGAGCCCUGAGAGAGGUUUUCUGUGGGAUAUAACUAAUGUUACAACCGCAGCUAGGAGCAUAAGACUAAAUGACUUUCCAUGACACUGUAUCUAAAAUCCCAAGAGAAAGUCUCAUGAAACAGCUUUACAAAACAGCCUCAUGAUUGUCUAACCACCACGGCAGUGGUGACCGUGAUCUGACGCGACGCCACUCCCAGACUAAAGCCCGCUCUCCACCGUGGCAGAGUGAGAAAGCAGUUCAUUUUCCAUGACCUGAUUUACUUUGCUCACCACACGUUACGGCGACAUUAUCACGCUCAAUGUGAUCAAUGACCCGUCUAAGCCAAUACUCUAUAGAAAAGUGGAAGAAACCUCAUACCAGGCUGAGCUCUCCAUGCCAGGCCAGCUCCUAAGCGAGGGAAAUCGUAGCUCUCUCUGACUCACCAAUGUGGCUCCUCAUGAGCUGCCCACGAGACAGGCAUCAUGGAAUCACCAGUUCUCAGCUGUCAAAGGGAUUUCCCCAGAAAAGAAAUGAUGUUUUUUUCAUCUCCAGAUUGCCUAUUUGGUAGAGUCCUUGGAAAAGUCAAGGAAGGGGGUAAAUGCCAAGAUACCACUGGGGUUUAAAAUAGCGACUUUGGGAAGUUAAUCUAAGAGUAGACUUUCUGAAAAAGCAAGGCCAAAACAUUUCUAAAAGACUCCUGGACUUCCCAGC